Leopardus geoffroyi (Geoffroy's cat) is the source of this 474-nucleotide long non-coding RNA. RefSeq lists it as uncharacterized. The transcript is spliced from 3 exons. Lineage: Eukaryota; Metazoa; Chordata; Mammalia; Carnivora; Felidae. The record is from RefSeq and is a predicted model, not a curated record.
UCUGGUUUGGUAGAAAAGAAUGAACAUUUCUUUCUUAACAUAGUAAUGCUGUAAUUUGUACCACCAACUUAUUACUGCAACGAAAACCAUGUUUUUUCCCUUAUUUGGUAUUAUCAGGAGGGUAGAUAAAAAUUAUCCACCCUUAUUAUUGUAGACAACAAUUUGCAUAUUUUUCUAAGGGCCUGUGUAAAAUCUGCAAGCAUUUCAUUAAAUUCUCCUAGUGAAAUCUACAUACUUCGUACCCAGCCUCCUCAUAAUGCUGUUUCCUAUCUCAGGCAGGAUAACUUCCUUGCAUCCUUUUUAUACUCUCUCAAAUCCCUCUCACUGCUGACUGGUCACCAAAUCCUGUGGGUCAUCUCCACUACUCGGCACUUUCUUCAGGUUAUUAGGUCUCACCUACACUAUUUAAAAAAAUGUAUUAGUCUGGGGGCACCUGGGUGGCUCAGUCGGUUAAGUGUCCGACUUCAGCUCAGG